CGGUAAUCCUGACAGCAACGUCAGGACUAGAGUGGCGUAAGGGUGCGUAACACGUAUGCAAUCUGCCCUCAACUGGGGGAUAGCUCCCGGAAACGGGAAUUAAUACCCCAUAACAUGCCAGCGAGGCAUCUUGCUGGCAUUAAAGCUACGGCGGUUGAGGAUGAGCAUGCGUCUGAUUAGCUAGUUGGUGAGGUAACGGCUCACCAAGGCGAUGAUCAGUAGGGGAACUGAGAGGUUGAUCCCCCACACUGGCACUGAGACACGGGCCAGACUCCUACGGGAGGCAGCAGUAGGGAAUAUUGGACAAUGGGUGCGAGCCUGAUCCAGCCAUGCCGCGUGCAGGAAGAAGGCCUUCUGGGUUGUAAACUGCUUUUAUCUGGGAAUAAAAAACCCGUGCGCGGGGAACUGAAGGUACCAGAUGAAUAAGCCACGGCUAACUACGUGCCAGCAGCCGCGGUAAUACGUAGGACGCGAGCGUUGUCCGGAUUUACUGGGUGUAAAGGGUGCGCAGGCGGAACUGUGCGUCGAGGGUUAAAGACUUAGGCUCAACCUAAGGAAUGCCCUCGAUACGGCAGAUCUUGAGUGCGAGAGAGGAUAGUGGAAUUCCUGGUGUAGCGGUGAAAUGCGUAGAUAUCAGGAGGAACACCAGUGGCGAAGGCGGCUAUCUGGCUCGCAACUGACGCUCAGGCACGAAAGCGUGGGGAGCAAACAGGAUUAGAUACCCUGGUAGUCCACGCCCUAAACGAUGAAUACUAGGUGUUGGUCCCACUGGGAUCAGUGCCGCAGCUAACGCAUUAAGUAUUCCGCCUGGGGAGUACGAUCGCAAGGUUGCUGUCG
Molecule: ribosomal RNA, 837 nt
Filed under: uncultured bacterium
Lineage: Bacteria
Description: bacterial SSU rRNA
Rfam family: Bacterial small subunit ribosomal RNA
Source: RNAcentral